UACGUAGGGUGCAAGCGUUAAUCGGAAUUAUUGGGCGUAAAGCGUGCGCAGGCGGUGAUGUAAGACAGGUGUGAAAUCCCCGGGCUUAACCUGGGAACUGCAUUUGUGACUGCAUCGCUGGAGUGCGGCAGAGGGGGAUGGAAUUCCGCGUGUAGCAGUGAAAUGCGUAGAUAUGCGGAGGAACACUGAUGGCGAAGGCAAUCCCCUGGGCCUGCACUGACGCUCAUGCACGAAAGCGUGGGGAGCAAACAGG
RNAcentral lists this ribosomal RNA (253 nucleotides) under uncultured bacterium. RNAcentral's name for it is "partial 16S ribosomal RNA". It matches the Rfam family "Bacterial small subunit ribosomal RNA", at positions 524 to 776 of the family's 1533-position model. The record is from RNAcentral.